UACGAAGGGGGGCUAGCGUUGCUCGGAAUGACUGGGCGUAAAGGGCGCGUAGGCGGAUGGCACAGUCAGAUGUGAAAUUCCCGGGCUUAACCUGGGGGGCUGCAUUUGAUACGUGUUGUCUUGAGUUCGGAAGAGGGUCGUGGAAUUCCCAGUGUAGAGGUGAAAUUCGUAGAUAUUGGGAAGAACACCAGUGGCGAAGGCGGCGCCUGGUCCCGACACUGACGCUGAGGCGCGAAAAGCGGUGGGGGAGCAAA
Molecule: ribosomal RNA, 254 nt
Filed under: uncultured bacterium
Lineage: Bacteria
Description: partial 16S ribosomal RNA
Rfam family: Bacterial small subunit ribosomal RNA
Source: RNAcentral